Molecule: ribosomal RNA, 477 nt
Filed under: Candidatus Brocadia fulgida
Lineage: Bacteria; Pseudomonadati; Planctomycetota; Candidatus Brocadiia; Candidatus Brocadiales; Candidatus Brocadiaceae
Description: bacterial SSU rRNA
Rfam family: Bacterial small subunit ribosomal RNA
Source: RNAcentral
UUCGCAAUGCCCGAAAGGGUGACGAAGCGACGCCGCGUGCGGGAAGAAGGCCUUCGGGUUGUAAACCGCUGUCGGGAGUUAAGAAAUGCAAGGGUGUUAACAGCAUCCUUGCUUGACUAAGGCUCCGGAGGAAGCCACGGCUAACUCUGUGCCAGCAGCCGCGGUAAUACAGAGGCGGCAAGCGUUGUUCGGAAUUAUUGGGCGUAAAGAGCACGUAGGCGGCUGUGUAAGUCGGUUGUGAAAGCCUUCCGCUCAACGGGAGAACGGCAUCCGAUACUGCAUGGCUUGAGUGCGGGAGGGGGGAGUGGAACUUCUGGUGGAGCGGUGAAAUGCGUAGAUAUCAGAAGGAACACCGGCGGCGAAGGCGACUCUCUGGCCCGUAACUGACGCUGAGUGUGCGAAAGCUAGGGGAGCAAACGGGAUUAGAUACCCCGGUAGUCCUAGCCGUAAACGAUGGGCACUAAGUAGAGGGGUUUU